Molecule: non-coding RNA, 719 nt
Organism: Oryctolagus cuniculus (rabbit)
Lineage: Eukaryota; Metazoa; Chordata; Mammalia; Lagomorpha; Leporidae
Source: RefSeq, a predicted model, not a curated record
UUUGCAAAGUGCCCUGACCGGGAGUCUCUGGAUUCGGCCAAAUCGGGGCUUUGCUACGCCUGGGAUCUGAGACCUGUAUCUCCAAAACUCCAAAAACGAUCAGGGAAGACCAUGCACAACGACUGAUGAGAACAUCUCUGCAGAGCCAGCUACUGUCGCCUUUUGCGGCACUUGAAAGACAUCGGGAAUCUGUUAAAAUGAGCGUUCCUGAAGAGCCUCUCAUUCUGUGAAAUGCCACAACAAAGGUAAUAGGGCUCGUGGGGGGUAAAAGGGAGCUAAGGGCAGGCCACUCCAAACCUGUGUGGCUUUGUAAUUGGUCUACUAACAGAAGCGAUAAUUGGUCCGCCAGAGAUAAGGCUGAGCGCGGGAGCACCAGAAGCUGGUGCAGAGGAUAUUAAACACGCACGAAAAUAAUGCAGUGCACACUCUGGCUUGUGGUCCUGUGAGCCCCUGGGGCUGCUGGGAGCUGGACACAAGGGGAGUAUCACCCCGGGCAUGCGAGGCUGGAACGUGCUUCCUGAGGGCGGGAGCCCCACGUGCACGUGUUCACUUAAAAUGACAGAAAAACAAAAAGGAAAAAAAAUACAGAACCGAAUGCCAUGCUCAGCUCUUCCCAUGGAGGUGGCCAUUGCACUCUACGAUUUCAGCUCCUCUCACCUUGGAAAACACACAUGGGAACCACACAGCUUCCAUGUUACCCAGUCUGCACUACCCUGCUU